GCAUUGGUAGUUCAGUGGUAGAAUUCUUGCCUUCCAUGUGAGAGACCCAGGUUCAGUUCCCAGCCAAUGUA
RNAcentral lists this transfer RNA (71 nucleotides) under Loxodonta africana (African savanna elephant). It matches the Rfam family "tRNA". Rfam says of the family: Transfer RNA (tRNA) molecules are approximately 80 nucleotides in length. The record is from Rfam by way of RNAcentral. Lineage: Eukaryota; Metazoa; Chordata; Mammalia; Proboscidea; Elephantidae.